CACGCACUCGAAGAGGUUCUGAAUAAAUGGUCCAGAUGCCAGCCCCAGCUAAGCACCCAGCGGACAGCCAGCAUCAGCCAUCAUACGUGUGAGCGAGGAAGCCUUGAAGGUGACUCCAGCCCCAGCCACAUGUGAGUGCAACCCCAGUGAGAACUGUCUCGCUGGCCCCAGUCAACCCCCAAGACUGUGAGAGAUCCUGAGAAAAAUCAGUCAAGAAACUGGGAAAAUGGAAAAAGUAUUAUAAUUUUGCGAUGAUUAAAGCUGAACACUCAACACAGAGAUGUUACCGUUUUGAAAGAAUCCACUGAUACCAAGGGCAGGAAACCUGGAUAUGGGAAUCGAAAGUUAAGCAGAGGAAAAUUGAGACCAGAAAGAUGACGUGAGUCGCUCUAGCCUCGACACUAAUGAGCUCCAGACCUGGGCCAGACUGAGCCCCUCUCCACUUGGUACACUAAGCAUCAUUUAACUUUGUUGUAAUUAUAAACAACAUGGAACAGUGAAACUCUCCAGCCAUCGAAUUCUACACUGAAAAGAAGAGAGCACCUGACAUGGCAGUGAAGAGCUGAGAUUUAGAAGGGGAACAUGUGUGUGUGAUCCUGGUUCUGCCUCGCACAACCUGUGGGACAGUUGACUUCACUUCUUGACGUCUCAGCGUGUUCCUCGUUUCAGAUCUGAGGCCCCUUUCAGUUAUCUGAGCCUUAGUUCCUGCCAGGACCGUGGGGAAAAAAGUGGAUUUGGUCUGCCUGG
This 747-nucleotide long non-coding RNA is filed under the name Equus asinus (donkey). RNAcentral describes it as "lncRNA (ENSEASG00005026045.1)". Lineage: Eukaryota; Metazoa; Chordata; Mammalia; Perissodactyla; Equidae. The record is from RNAcentral.